GGACUGGAGCAGACGUCAGCCUCAGAGAGACAGCAGCCUUUACUGGGCUAUGACUAGUUAGCAGAAAUGAAUUCUACACAGAAAUAAAGCUAACCCAACCAUUUUAGUUGGGUAGCAGCUGAUGUUUAUCUGUUUGAAAUUGAUACAGUGUUUGCCCUCCUCCCUUAGGGAUUGUGGAUGCAUAGAGCUCCAUGACAGAGCGCUCUGAGCAGUUCUUCAGUGAUCUGCACACUUCGACAGGUCAACAAGCAGAUGAUCUGAAGAGGACCUCUCACCCCCAUCACUGUCAAUAAAGAAGGAAAACCCCCAGCACACCAUGGGCAUUCACCAAGUGAUCAGCAGCCGACUGUUCCCAACCAUGUUGGAUUUGUAUUUAUUAAGGAUCCCCAUUAGCUGCUGCCAAGGCAACAGCUACUCUUCCUGGGGUCCAAAAUAUUAACGCAUUUACAUCACAUAUAAAACAAAAGAUAAAACAGUACAUCAUGUAACAUUAUUACACCACUACAUAUCUACAAUACAAAAUGUUUAAUACCACCAUACAACAAUAUCGAAAUGUAUGUGUAUGCAUUUGUCUGUAUCUUUGUGUGUGUCUCUUCACAGUCCCCGUUGUUCCAUAAGGUUACCUGCUUUUUAAAUCUGAUUCUACUGCUUGCAUCAGUUACCUGAUGUGGAAUAGAGUUCCAUGUAGUCAUGGCUCUGUGUAGUACUGUGUGACUUAGGGACUGUGAAGAGACCUCUGGUGGCAUGUCUUGUGGGGUAUGCAUGGGUGUCUGUGUGCAAGUAUUUUAAACAGACAGCUCGGUACAUUCAGCUUGUCAACACCUCUUACAAAAUCAAGUAGUGAUGAAGUCAAUCUCUCCUCCACUUCGAGCCAUGAGAGAUUGACAUGCAUGUCAUUAAUGUUAGCUCUCCGUGUACUUUUAAGGGCCAGCCGUGCUGCCCUGUUCUGAGCCAACUGCAAUUUUCCUAAGUCCCUCUUUGUGGCACCUGACCACACUACUGAACAGUAGUCUAGGUGUGACAAAAAUAGGGCCUUAGGACCUGACUUGUUGAUAGUGCUUUUAAGAAGGCAGAGCAGCGCUUUAUUAUGGACAGACUUCUCCCCAUUUUAGCUACUGUUGUAUCAAUAUGUUUUGACCAGUUUACAAUCCAGGGUUACUCCAAGC
This 1166-nucleotide long non-coding RNA is filed under the name Salmo salar (Atlantic salmon). RNAcentral describes it as "lncRNA (ENSSSAG00000088425.1)". The record is from RNAcentral. Lineage: Eukaryota; Metazoa; Chordata; Actinopteri; Salmoniformes; Salmonidae.